RNA transcript from Rhododendron vialii, 1687 nucleotides. It is a transcript of the gene named F-box/kelch-repeat protein At3g17530-like, with no coding region annotated. The record is from RefSeq and is a predicted model, not a curated record. NCBI's taxonomy places the organism in Eukaryota, Viridiplantae, Streptophyta, Magnoliopsida, Ericales, Ericaceae. The transcript has 2 exons.
CGUUUCCAUUCCUUUCUCCCCAUUUCUAUUUGUUUUCUCUUCAAAUAGGGUUUCGGUUCAGAUUAGACAGAUUUACAACAUGAGAAGAUCAAAGAGAACGGCAAUUCAUAACGAGGCCGCCGUCCCCACCGUCACCAUUUCAGACCUCCCAAAUCCAAUCACGUGCGACAUUCUAUCUCGACUCCCUCUCAACUCCAUCUUCACCAGCAAGCGAGUUUGCAGGUCCUGGCGCGACCUCACUCUCGAACCCUACUUCGCCAAAUUGCAUCUCUCAAGGUCUCCUCCUCUCAGCCUCAUCUCCUACCACACCGGUAAUGAUAAUAAUAACUCCCCCUCCUCUCACUUCGAAAUUAUCCCGCUCCCCGAUCCCCCUGUUGUAGAUCGCCCCAGCGCCGCCAUGAAAUUCAAAACUGACAUCUACUUCCCACAUAUACAUAUAGUAGCCUCGUGUAAUGGGUCAAUUUUGUUGUCAAAUUACUCGUCUAGUAAUGACCUUGUUAUUGUGUGUAACCCUCUUAGAGAUCACCAUGUUAUUCUUCCUAAACCUCCGAAAUUGGCACCACCGCAAGCUGAGAGAUCAGUCGGAUUUGGGUUUGGGUAUAGUCCAGCUACUGAUCUUUACAAGGUGUUAAGAUUCACUCAUAGAUUGGGCUUUGACAUUUAUACAAUUGGGAUUGAUGUUGAGUGGAGGAGCAUAGACACUGGGCUGCCACCCAUUCUUUUUACCACGAAUUUUGUUUUUCUGAAUGGGUUUCUUUACUGGUUAGGCUUGAGGAAUGCAUGGUUGAUUUGCUAUUUUGAUAUCGAGAAAGAGCAAUUCGGAAGCUUCCCCUUGCCUUCUCACAUUGGAAGCAAUUGUAGGUGUCUUGAGGUUGUAGAUAAUCGGUUGUACAUUCACAACAAGCAUCUUGGAGAAUGGAGAUUCUGGGCUAUGAAAGAUUACGGAGACUUUGGGUCCUGGACUUUGGAAUGGGUCAUUGAAGCACAUAUUACUUACAGGUUUAAAGGAUUUGUGAGGCCACUGAAAAUGUUGAAAGAUGGAACUCUGUUGAUGAUGUUCAACAAUUCUAGUUCACAAACAUAUGCCGGCAAGACUGCUUUAACAUCUUACAAUCUAGAAACAAGAGUGUUGGAAGAGAUUAUGUUUUGUGGUAUUUUACCCACUUCAGUUGCUGAUGUACCGUGCUUCCCUCCGAUGGAUGCUUUGAAAUGACAAUGUUCAGUCUUUUUUUCCCAUAUUACAUGUCCUAAUCAUAUGGAUGCUUUGAAAUGACAAUGUUUUAAUCUUUGAGUUAAGAUGCGCAGAUCCUGAUAUGUGGGAAAGUUUGUUAAUGCAAGAACAAAUAUCAAGAUCUUGUUCAAUGUUGCUUCAGAAAUCGAAAGUCACCUUUUGGUAUAGUUGUGCAGGACCUCUAUGGAAAUGUUGAAGCAAAGCUGGACUCACCUCAUUGGCUAUUUAAAGUUCUUUAUCUUGUUAAUGCCUGUAGCUAAGCUUGAACUUCAAUAGUUUUGGGGCUGUUCAACUACACAUAGAUUUCAACUAAUGCUAGUGUUUUUUUUGAACGGUUUCUACCAAUGCUAGUUAAGUACGGUGAAUUUUUCUGUUUGGUUCUAGUGCUAUACCAUGUAACCCGAAGCUAAAUCUAUUUGGACCUUGAAUCUAUUAGUAUUUAUGUAUGUUUAAGUA